UGGGGCGGGUUCUUAAACGAGCCCACUAGGCCGCCCCGCAAAAUGAGCACAUGUGGCUGAUGCGGCCCAGCUGCAAGGCUUUUGCUGCUUGCUUUGUCCACGACGCUAAGCCCAACGGACACCAGCAACAACCCGCAAAGACCCGCAAGAACCCUCAAUAACCUAGCGCUCGCUACCGCCGCCGUCGCCGCCGUGGUUGACCACGACCCCGCGCUGGCGCCUCAUCCCGCACCUCGACUGCACCCUCGCUUCUACCCCUUCCGUUGGAUAGGAACGGAUCCGCCCGACUACCCCGUGCUGCCUCCCGCCGCAGGGCCAAGGAAAGAUUUUCCUUGCAGUAGUUCCUCAGUCGAAGCACCGGCAAAGAUGAGCAUCUUGAUCUGCGACUUGGAAACUAGAAACAUUUGUUUGGCAACUGCAAAUCAUUGGUGUAACUAAAGAAUGCCUUACUGCAGAUCUUGUAAUCUUUAGUGGCCAUCUUAGUUCACCCUUUUUAUUCUUGAUGAUUGAUGUACUAAUCCUAGUUUGAUUGAUGAUAGAACGAUGCAGUUGUGAUUUUUGUUUUCACUCAGUAUUUUAAUUUAUUUUCUAUCAAAUGUAAUCGAUACUCAUUGGGGAUUGAUACUAGGCAAACAAGCAGCUGGUUAGCUACCUGUCUAA
Panicum virgatum (switchgrass) is the source of this 660-nucleotide long non-coding RNA. RefSeq lists it as uncharacterized. NCBI's taxonomy places the organism in Eukaryota, Viridiplantae, Streptophyta, Magnoliopsida, Poales, Poaceae. The transcript is spliced from 2 exons. The record is from RefSeq and is a predicted model, not a curated record.